UACGUAGGGAGCAAGCGUUGUUCGGAUUUACUGGGCGUAAAGGGCGCGUAGGCGGCGCGGUAAGUCACUUGUGAAAUCUCUGAGCUUAACUCAGAACGGCCAAGUGAUACUGCAGUGCUAGAGUGCAGAAGGGGCAAUCGGAAUUCUUGGUGUAGCGGUGAAAUGCGUAGAUAUCAAGAGGAACACCUGAGGUGAAGACGGGUUGCUGGGCCGACACUGACGCUGAGUGCGCGAAAGCCAGGGGAGCAAACGGG
This 254-nucleotide ribosomal RNA is filed under the name uncultured bacterium. RNAcentral describes it as "partial 16S ribosomal RNA". It matches the Rfam family "Bacterial small subunit ribosomal RNA", at positions 524 to 776 of the family's 1533-position model. The record is from RNAcentral.